Molecule: long non-coding RNA, 953 nt
Organism: Mus musculus (house mouse)
Lineage: Eukaryota; Metazoa; Chordata; Mammalia; Rodentia; Muridae
Product: RIKEN cDNA 4930553J12 gene
Exons: 4
Source: RefSeq, marked validated
UUUGGCUGCUAGAAUCUAUCAACCUUCUUGUUAAAGGCGAACACAGAUCAGUUGAGGGAUUAUCACCACUCUUCAUCUCCCAGCACAUGCAAGAAGAUCACAGAUCGUAGAGCUAAGAAUUCAAGAAAUUACACACUUUCAACCAGUAGAAGACAGAAGCUGAUGAAGAAAUGCUUUUCCCUUAGUAUCACCAGAUACCAAGGUGCUGCCUGCCCAUCGUGGGUUCCUCCUGUUGUUCCUCCUGCUCAAGCAACUUGAUCGCCACAACCAGCUGCUCUCCCAGCACCUGCCAGCUGAGCUCCUCUUUCAACAGUGGCUGCCAGGAGACCUGCAUUGAGCCCACUAGCUGCCAGAGUUUCUGUGUGGUGCCCAGCCCCUGCCAGGUGCCCUGCUACUACCCCAGGAGCUCCACACCCUGCAGUCCUUGCCAGGGAACAUAUGCUGGCUCUCUGGGCUUUGGGUCCAGCAACGGUUUCUCCCAGGAUUAUGGAUCUAGAAGAUGCUACAUCAUGGGUUGUGGAUCCACUGUCUUUGAACCUCUGAAUUAUGGAGUCUCUGGCUUCCCUUUCCUGAGUUAUGGGUACAGAUUCUGCUACCCAAUCCACAUGGCUGAUAAUAUCUGCCAACCAUGUUAUAAACCAACCUGUGGUAAUAUUAUCUAGGGAUUCAACUGCUGAGCCCCUCUCUUCCUUCAUGCAAUAUAUAAGUAAAAGUCUGUAUGCCCUGCAAAAAUUGUUUCUUGCUUACCUCCUCUUGCUAUCUGUUAUUUCUUCCAUUAUCAGCUUCUCUCAUUCUCAAUUACUGGGAUAUUCUGGAAUUUAUGGGUAACCUCCAAUUAUUCCUUUCUCUCUUUACUAUGGAAAAAUAAUGAUACAUGUAGUUUGGUUUUCAUCCAAGGGUAGUUGAAAACUCAAAAUUUUUAUCUAAUAAAUGUAUGCAUUCUGAAACCUCAA